Molecule: long non-coding RNA, 540 nt
Organism: Leopardus geoffroyi (Geoffroy's cat)
Lineage: Eukaryota; Metazoa; Chordata; Mammalia; Carnivora; Felidae
Exons: 3
Source: RefSeq, a predicted model, not a curated record
GGGAGGGACAGAGAGAGAGACACAGAGAGAGAGACAGAGAGAGAGAGAGAGAGAGAGAGGGGUAAACAGAAUCCUAAUCUGCACUUUCAGUGUAGAGCCCAACAUGGGGCUUGGAUUCAUGAACUGAAAGAUCAUGAGAUCACGACCUGAGCCAAGAUCAAGAGUUGGACGCUUAACUGACCAAGCCACCCAGGCGCCCCUCCUUCUUUUCCUUUUUAAAGCUACGUCUUAUGUGGCAGAUGGGAAGUGUGGAACUCCAGGUGGCAGGUGGCACCCAGGAGGCACAUGGAGCUCCCCCACCUCCAGAAGACAUGCCCCACAUCCACGCCCAGGGAAGCCCACUGCAGCCUCCCUGCCCUUCUCUCCCAGGGCUGGGGUGUCUGAUGCUGCAUUCACAGACAGCUCCGGGGAGUCCCAGCCACAAAGACCAGCAUCCAACGACGCACCCACAAACAUUUGAGGAAGAUGAACACCAUAAGGAGAAGCACCUAGUUUCACCAACCGAGCCAACAAGUAGAUGACACGUGAGCAGGAAGAGAC